AUGAUUAAAACAAAGCCAAAAAUACCACCGCAUUGGAGUCAUGAGUCAGACGCCGACCUUUCACGUAAACGCCGCGGAGAGGCUGGGAUCGGACGGCACCGCGGGGCUCCCGGUGAGAGGGAAGGACGGACAUCGCGGAGAGCCCUGCGCAGGAGGGGACGGGGUGGUGACAGCGGCACGGGGGGGGGGNGGGAAGGGGGGGGGGGGGGGGGGGGGGGGGGGUCGGAACGGGCCGCUCCCCGCAGGACCGCAGCUUCGUGCAGUGUUGGCACGCAGCAGCGCUGUGAAAGCUUUAAACUUCCAUCUGUCGGGCCGUUACGGCCUCGCUUCACACGGAACCCGCAGCUCUCUGUGAGAGUGACUGCGAGUGACGGGAUUUCAGAGAUCUCACGCACUGAGAGACUCCCUGCGAACCUCCGAGCCGGCGCCAGGGCGGCAGGAGUAACAGAAUGCUUCUCACGUCCGCUUGGGCUUUUCUCCCAGUUUCGGCUCUGGAUGCAAAGUCAGAACAAACUGCGCUGGUUUAUGGCUCGGGCCGUAGGGAGCGCAGCGCCGCCUGCUCGGCGGCAUGGGGAUAACCCUGACCGAUCCUGCAUGGCUCGGCACGGCCUCUCCUUUGUACCCCCUGGGUUCCACGCCGGUGGCCGCCACCCGAGCGUGCGGCCGAAGCCGUGCUGUGCCGCGCCGUGCCGGGGCUUUGGCCGCACUGUCCCUGAAGCUCUGCGUGGAGCCCCGCACCGCCGCUACAGAGCGCUGCCCCCGAGGCAGACGGGGGAGGAGAUUCCAAUCGCGUUAAUCAGCCGAGUGCCGACCUUACCCCUUCUGCAGUACGAAAACAUUUCCUUUCGCUCCCUUUUAAAGAUAACACACGGUUCCGUCCUUCAGUCCCUGGCAGAUCCUCCGCAGGGGCAGAGAAGAAAGGCCCCGUCCCACCCCGAGCGGAACACCGCGCACGGAGCAGCGCCAGAGCCGUACCAGGGCCGAGCCGUGCCGGCUGACCCGGCACACCGCGGCCCGAUGCUGCCACCCACCCCUCGCCCUGCUGAUCCCAGGCACUGGCAGAUCGCCGGAGCCCUUGGUGCGCAGAGCCUUCAGAGCCGAGCAGACACAAUAGCAGUGUCCCUUUGCAAGAAAUGGGCUCUGCCCGCAGUCACCGUCCCGCAGCAGCACGAAGGGCAGCAAUGCGAUCAGGCGGCGAUGCGGUACCGACGGCACUCGGUGCGCUGCUGCCCUGCGGCUGCGGGGAUGCUCUGUGCAGCUCAGCAGUUAGCAGUGUCUAACCAAGAGCUGGGAGAUGGAAGGGAAAGUUAG
RNAcentral lists this long non-coding RNA (1311 nucleotides) under Pavo cristatus (Indian peafowl). RNAcentral describes it as "lncRNA (ENSPSTG00000002867.1)". The record is from RNAcentral. Lineage: Eukaryota; Metazoa; Chordata; Aves; Galliformes; Phasianidae.